AUGUCGGAUUCAGAACGUGAAGACCGGGACAAAGGAAGGAACUACUACGUGAAAGCCUCAAUAGGCCAAGGCGAAUACUACUGCCAAUGCUGCAAAUUCGAACGGGACGGCAUUGUGUGCUGUCACAUACUAAAAGUAAUGGACAUGAACGCGGUGACACGUAUGCCCCGCCAUUUCAUAAGGCGGCGAUGGACUUGGGACGCUGACGACGCAUUGGCGCCAGAGACAACAAACGCAGUUUUGGCUGUGCAUGACGAGAGACCGGAGUCAACCAUGGAAGCUGUGAGGCACGUUGUGUUGACAAAGAACUAUGCUGAACUAAUUGAUGAAGCGUGCAAGAGUGAUGAGACAGCGAGGGUCGUAGAAAAACACAGGAAGGCCCUGAAAAGAGAGCUUGAUGAGAUCAAGAAGAGGAAAGCUGAGGAAGCCUUACACAGGUUCCCCUGCACAUCAAGUGUGCCUUCAUCCACGGGGCCAUCAUCUGAAAACUCGGAGAUAGGAUCUGGAACAGCAAGCACACAAACCCAGGUCGGGAACCCGCCCCGUUCCAUCACAAAGGGGCGUCCAAAAGAGAUAAGAUACAAAUCGGGAUUGGAGAUUCAAGCAAAACACAAGAAAACAAAGAAAGGGACAAGCAAUCUGUAA
RNAcentral lists this ribosomal RNA (645 nucleotides) under Triticum aestivum (bread wheat). Its description in RNAcentral is "partial small subunit ribosomal RNA". Lineage: Eukaryota; Viridiplantae; Streptophyta; Magnoliopsida; Poales; Poaceae. The record is from RNAcentral.